UGGGGAAUAUUGGACAAUGGGCGAAAGCCUGAUCCAGCCAUGCCGCGUGUGUGAAGAAGGUCUUCGGAUUGUAAAGCACUUUAAGUUGGGAGGAAGGGCAGUAAGUUAAUACCUUGCUGUUUUGACGUUACCGACAGAAUAAGCACCGGCUAACUCUGUGCCAGCAGCCGCGGUAAUACAGAGGGUGCAAGCGUUAAUCGGAAUUACUGGGCGUAAAGCGCGCGUAGGUGGUUUGUUAAGUUGGAUGUGAAAGCCCCGGGCUCAACCUGGGAACUGCAUCCAAAACUGGCAAGCUAGAGUACGGUAGAGUGUGGUGGAAUUUCCUGUGUAGCGGUGAAAUGCGUAGAUAUAGGAAGGAACACCAGUGGCGAAGGCGACCACCUGGACUGAUACUGACACUGAGGUGCGAAAGCGUGGGGAGCAAACA
This 427-nucleotide ribosomal RNA is filed under the name uncultured bacterium. Its description in RNAcentral is "partial 16S ribosomal RNA". It matches the Rfam family "Bacterial small subunit ribosomal RNA", at positions 355 to 774 of the family's 1533-position model. The record is from RNAcentral.